AGUGAACGCUGGCGGUAGGCCUAACACAUGCAAGUCGAACGGCAGCACAGUAAGAGCUUGCUCUUACGGGUGGCGAGUGGCGGACGGGUGAGGAAUACAUCGGAAUCUACUUUUUCGUGGGGGAUAACGUAGGGAAACUUACGCUAAUACCGCAUACGACCUACGGGUGAAAGCAGGGGAUCUUCGGACCUUGCGCGAUUGAAUGAGCCGGUGUCGGAUUAGCUAGUUGGCGGGGUAAAGGCCCACCAAGGCGACGAUCCGUAGCUGGUCUGAGAGGAUGAUCAGCCACACUGGAACGGAGACACGGUCAAGACUCCUACGGGAGGCAGCAGUGGGGAAUAUUAGGCAAUGGGGGCAAGCAUGAUACAGCCAUACCGAGUGGGUGAAGAAGGCCUUCGGGUUGUAAAGCCCUUUUGUUGGGAAAGAAAAGCAGCAGGUUAAUACCACGCUGUUCUGACGGUACCCAAAGAAGAAGCACCGGCUAACUUCGUG
Molecule: ribosomal RNA, 492 nt
Filed under: uncultured bacterium
Lineage: Bacteria
Description: partial 16S ribosomal RNA
Rfam family: Bacterial small subunit ribosomal RNA
Source: RNAcentral